GUCGAAUCUGUUUUGAAAUCUCCAAGGAGAGGGUUUUUCCCCCUUUUUUUCACUCCAAAGCACUAUCUGUGGCGAUCAGACUGAGCAGGGUUGCCAGCAAAUGCAGGAGGCCCCUUCUAGGGUACAGGCUUUCAAACCAGCGAAGCUAGAGGGAAUGGAUUUAAGGACACACAGCAGGAGCUGGCUGGAUUCAUUUUAUUUUGACGGGGGUAGUUGGGGGAGGAAUAUCAUUUCUGAAAUGCCCAAGGAAUGAAGGGAGAGGAUAUGGAUUUCUUAAACAGUUUUUUGCAAGAGGAGCGGUGUCUUGUUCUGCAGACGGAAACACCAAAGCACAGAGUCAAGCGACUGAGUUCAUUCGCCUGGAAAAGAACUGCGCGUUUCCAGAGCUCUCACUCAUGGUCACCAUACUGCACUGCCUUUUCAUGAAGGGUGUAAAUACACGCCAUGAUUUGACUCCCAGCAUGACAAAACCAGACUUUUCCUGCCUUGAAGUCCACUGCCUUCAGCUAGUAAGUAGGGAAAGAGAGAUGGCCCACUUCUUAACCACUCCAUCUUGGAAGUGACACAGAUCACACAUCAUUGGAAAGAAAUAGUUACUGUCUUCACCUCAAACCUAAUGGGCUGAAAAUACAACCCCUUGCUGGCAACAGCGUCCUUACAACUCUACACCAUGGGAGAGGCAUAGAAUCCCUGACAGACAAUUUGUGCCACAAGAACACUCUCAGGCCUUCCACCAUCCCCAGGUGUGGCAUUGGAGAUGAAGGAGAGGAAGGUGGGGGUGUUCUGACCUAGUCAGUGAGGUUCUGAAAGUCUUGGGGUAGUUCCUCAAAGAAGUCAAAAUUGAAUAAGAAGCUGAGCUAAACCUCCACAGGAAGACAUCAACCACAAAGUUAGAAGGGGAGUCUGAGGCUCCAGAAAGUGACCAAACAGAAGAGGCCAGGUGCAGAGAUGAAGCUGGAAUGUGGGGCUCAAUAUUGAGAAGGCAGAGAAAGGAGAACAAGGGGAUUGAGGGAAAACUCCAGGUGGGGGCUCUGGAAGGAUUUCCUUAAACAGAGUCUACUACUUGUGUACAAAGCAAUGGAGGUGAGAGUGGGCUGGUUCCAGGGCUGGGGACAGCAUGGACAGGACAGCAGCACUUUCCGUUGACACACAUAUGGAAGAAUAGGUGGCCACACAUGGACUCCCCAAAGCCUAGCUGCCUCUUCGUCAUAACUGCACUUCUGUAUAGUGCCACCCCCAAGACGACAG
This is a long non-coding RNA of Pan paniscus (pygmy chimpanzee), 1248 nucleotides long. NCBI's taxonomy places the organism in Eukaryota, Metazoa, Chordata, Mammalia, Primates, Hominidae. The record is from Ensembl.